GAUUGUACCUUUUCAUGUGGUUCUUAGCCUUUGUUGAACAUAUCAGUUCAUCAACACACAAAAAUUGUUCCAUAGGAACUUUUUUAAAAUUUUUGUUUAGUUCAUCUAUUAUUGGCCUGAUUUUGAAUAGCCGAUCGUGACAGGAGUGUGACAAAGGCAGAGCAUUAUCAUUGUUGUUAAAGUAAAUGUGACGCCUCAUCAUCUCAAAUGUUUUUUGCGACAUAAUAUUCUGUAUCGCUGGUACUCCAAUUAUUGUUGACCAAUAUUGAGUAAUUCUUGGAAGACGCGAAAUUGACAUGUAUAAUAUUAUUCCAACAAACUGUCGAAUAUCUAAGGACGUAAAAUUGACAUGUUUUUUGGAAAAAGAUACCAAAAAAAUUGUAUUGGCUCUGAUAGUUCCAUUAGUUCCGGAUGCAACAUAGUACUCCCGAGAAACUGCAGUUGAUUUUCGUUCAAAAUUAAACUGCGUUUUCUCCAUAGCAAGUUUCUUUUCAGAUCAGGGUUAUUACUUUUAACAUUUGGCUCAGAAUCAUCUACGAGAUUUGAGUUUGAAACGUCUAAGGCAUUACUCGGUGGAUUUUGGUCAUCGAUGUCAUCUUCAUCCGUACUACCUGCAUCUUUCUCAUCUAGAUAAAAAUCGCUUUCUUCAUCAGCAGAAAAGUCAAGUUCAUCCUCGCUAUCUAAACUGUUGAAAUAAUUUUCAACCUGUGAAGGUGUUAAACCUUUUCCUGACAUAUUUCCUGCCGCACUCAACAUGUGCUUCUCACAAAAUUGGCGGGAAAGUGAACAUAUGUUUUACAAAACAUCUAGAAAUGUGCCCAAAGCAAAUCAUUUAUAAAAUACGUUUGUUUCAGAUGUACAACAUAUAGCCACAUUCGAUUUUUUCGAUUUGCAUUGCGAAAAAAUAUCUUUUAAAGGGUAUGUUGCAGAUAUGCAACACUGCCAUAUAAAGGGUUAAAAA
Long non-coding RNA from Drosophila hydei, 961 nucleotides. RefSeq lists it as uncharacterized. The record is from RefSeq and is a predicted model, not a curated record. The transcript has 3 exons. Lineage: Eukaryota; Metazoa; Arthropoda; Insecta; Diptera; Drosophilidae.